GGAGAGGUCGCCUAGUCCGGCCGAUGGCACCGCGUUGCUAACGCGGAGCGGGGUAACACCGCCGAGGGUUCGAAUCCCUCCCUCUCCGCCA
RNAcentral lists this transfer RNA (91 nucleotides) under Micromonospora ureilytica. RNAcentral describes it as "tRNA-Ser". It matches the Rfam family "tRNA". Rfam says of the family: Transfer RNA (tRNA) molecules are approximately 80 nucleotides in length. Their secondary structure includes four short double-helical elements and three loops (D, anti-codon, and T loops). The record is from RNAcentral. Lineage: Bacteria; Bacillati; Actinomycetota; Actinomycetes; Micromonosporales; Micromonosporaceae.